Molecule: ribosomal RNA, 843 nt
Filed under: uncultured bacterium
Lineage: Bacteria
Description: bacterial SSU rRNA
Rfam family: Bacterial small subunit ribosomal RNA
Source: RNAcentral
CUUACACAUGCAGUCGAGCGGGGAAGGUAGCUUGCUACUGGACCUAGCGGCGGACGGGUGAGUAAUGCUUAGGAAUCUGCCUAUUAGUGGGGGACAACAUUCCGAAAGGAAUGCUAAUACCGCAUACGCCCUACGGGGGAAAGCAGGGGAUCUUCGGACCUUGCGCUAAUAGAUGAGCCUAAGUCGGAUUAGCUAGUUGGUGGGGUAAAGGCCUACCAAGGCGACGAUCUGUAGCGGGUCUGAGAGGAUGAUCCGCCACACUGGGACUGAGACACGGCCCAGACUCCUACGGGAGGCAGCAGUGGGGAAUAUUGGACAAUGGGCGGAAGCCUGAUCCAGCCAUGCCGCGUGUGUGAAGAAGGCCUUUUGGUUGUAAAGCACUUUAAGCGAGGAGGAGGCUCCUUUAGUUAAUACCUAAAGUGAGUGGACGUUACUCGCAGAAUAAGCACCGGCUAACUCUGUGCCAGCAGCCGCGGUAAUACAGAGGGUGCGAGCGUUAAUCGGAUUUACUGGGCGUAAAGCGUGCGUAGGCGGCUUUUUAAGUCGGAUGUGAAAUCCCUGAGCUUAACUUAGGAAUUGCAUUCGAUACUGGAAAGCUAGAGUAUGGGAGAGGAUGGUAGAAUUCCAGGUGUAGCGGUGAAAUGCGUAGAGAUCUGGAGGAAUACCGAUGGCGAACGCAGCCAUCUGGUCUAAUACUGACGCUGAUGUACGAAAGCAUGGGGAGCAAACAGGAUUAGAUACCCUGGUAGUCCAUGCCGUAAACGAUGUCUACUAGGCCGUUGGGGUCUUUGAGCUUUAGUGGCGCAGCUAACGCGAUAGUAGACGCUGGGGAGUACGAUCGCA